Molecule: non-coding RNA, 178 nt
Organism: Triticum aestivum (bread wheat)
Lineage: Eukaryota; Viridiplantae; Streptophyta; Magnoliopsida; Poales; Poaceae
Source: Rfam
GUUCGCGUAAAGAUUCUCUUUUCACCAUGUGUCAUAUGACAUUGUACAAUAGUUGGUUCUGUUGGUGCAAGUGUCCAUCGUUGUAUGAUAACCUAUGUGGUUUUGUCUGGGAUGGAAUUACCCAUUUUCACUGGAUGCCUUGUUCAGUAGCCUCUGGGUUCUUUUUCUAAAUUUGCAC